CUGUGCAGCAGCAGACUGUUUAAACUAAGUCCCCGCUUGUAUCGGAGAUUCCUGUUCAGGGCUUCAGGCUGCUCUUUGCCACUGGGGAUCUGACGUCACAAAGUAGGAGCCACGCUGCAGUUCUAGGGCCGGGACCAGUGCAAGAAAGUGCUGUGGACAGCAUCAUUGCAGCACUCAACAAUCAAGCAACAAGAAUACAUCCUCGGCAGUAAUAUAAUGUCUCCAGGACUCCAGUCCUCCACCUAGUGAUUCCCAAUUUAUGUGGUAUU
Long non-coding RNA from Pseudophryne corroboree (corroboree frog), 269 nucleotides. RefSeq lists it as uncharacterized. The record is from RefSeq and is a predicted model, not a curated record. The transcript is spliced from 3 exons. Lineage: Eukaryota; Metazoa; Chordata; Amphibia; Anura; Myobatrachidae.